UACGGAGGGUGCAAACGUUGCUCGGAAUUAUUGGGCGUAAAGCGCACGUAGGUGGUCUGUUAUGUCAGAUGUGAAAGCCCUCGGCUUAACUGAGGAAGUGCACCUGAAACUGGCAGGCUUGAGUACGAAAGAGGGUCGCGGAAUUCCCGGUGUAGAGGUGAAAUUCGUAGAUAUCGGGAGGAACACCGGUGGCGAAGGCGGCGACCUGGUUCGAUACUGACACUGAGGUGCGAAAGCGUGGGGAGCAAACGGG
RNAcentral lists this ribosomal RNA (253 nucleotides) under uncultured bacterium. RNAcentral's name for it is "partial 16S ribosomal RNA". It matches the Rfam family "Bacterial small subunit ribosomal RNA", at positions 524 to 776 of the family's 1533-position model. The record is from RNAcentral.